This 491-nucleotide ribosomal RNA is filed under the name uncultured bacterium. Its description in RNAcentral is "partial 16S ribosomal RNA". It matches the Rfam family "Bacterial small subunit ribosomal RNA", at positions 29 to 506 of the family's 1533-position model. The record is from RNAcentral.
AGUGAACGCUGGCGGUAGGCCUAACACAUGCAAGUCGAACGGCAGCACAGUAAGAGCUUGCUCUUACGGGUGGCGAGUGGCGGACGGGUGAGGAAUACAUCGGAAUCUACUUUUUCGUGGGGGAUAACGUAGGGAAACUUACGCUAAUACCGCAUACGACCUACGGGUGAAAGCAUGGGAUCUUCGGACCUUGCGCGAUUGAAUGAGCCGAUGUCGGAUUAGCUAGUUGGCGGGGUAAAGGCCCACCAAGGCGACGAUCCGUAGCUGGUCUGAGAGGAUGAUCGGCCACACUGGAACUGAGACACGGUCCGGACUCCAACGGGAGGAAGCGGUGGGGAAUAUUGGACAAGGGGCGCAAGCCUGAUCCAGCCAUACCGCGUGGGUAAAGAAGGCUUUCGGGUUGUAAAGCCCUUUUGUUGGGAAAGAAAAGCAGCAGGUUAAUACCCCGCUGUUCUGACGGUACCAAAAGAAUAAGCACCGGCUAACUUCGU